This 201-nucleotide ribosomal RNA is filed under the name uncultured bacterium. Its description in RNAcentral is "partial 16S ribosomal RNA". It matches the Rfam family "Bacterial small subunit ribosomal RNA", at positions 1300 to 1500 of the family's 1533-position model. The record is from RNAcentral.
GCAGGCUGCAACUCGCCUGCAUGAAGCUGGAAUUGCUAGUAAUCGCGGAUCAGCAAGCCGCGGUGAAUACGUUCCCGGGCCUUGUACACACCGCCCGUCACACCAUGGGAGUCGGUAACACCCAAAGUUGGUAGUCUAACCGCAAGGAGGACGCCGCCUAAGGUGGGAUUGAUGACUGGGGUGAAGUCGUAACAAGGUACC